This is a long non-coding RNA of Megalobrama amblycephala (Wuchang bream), 1017 nucleotides long. RefSeq lists it as uncharacterized. The transcript is spliced from 3 exons. Lineage: Eukaryota; Metazoa; Chordata; Actinopteri; Cypriniformes; Xenocyprididae. The record is from RefSeq and is a predicted model, not a curated record.
UUCUUGAGAUAAAUUCCUAAAAUUGCAGUCUACAUAUUUAUUGAAUAUAUAUAAUUCAUAUUUAACAUACAAAGAAGUAAUGCACAAAUGACUUGACUUGAGUUUAGUAAGUUUUAGUAAUGUUGUCACUGUUAUUUAUUUAUUUUUCAGACUGACUGAUCUGAGCACAACCCUUCGCCGCACUUUUCUUCUUGGUCAGUAUUAAUGUGGUUUCUUAAGUAGUACUGUGAUAUUUUCAUCACAUCACCAUAAUUGUAGUUCCUGUGACCUAAUUUUUUAUUUUUAUUUUUUCUGUUUCUUAUUCAGGUUCCUUGUGUUUUGGCUUUCGCCUUGUUCUACAGAGAGCAGUUCAUUUGUUCCUAGUAUUUUUUGCUUGAAACUUAAAUUAAAAUUUAGAUUUUCUGAAUUCUGCAUUUUUUUAAAUAAGCAGUUUUGUUUAGUUUAUUUUAAUAGACAGUUUUUAUUAUUAUUUUUUUUAGAUUUUUUUUAUUUUUUAUUUUUUAGAAUUAGAUUUGUAGAUCUAAUUUAUAAAUAUAAAUUAGUUCUUUUUCUGGUUCUUUUUCUACAUUCUCAUACAUUAAUAAGUUCAUUUUACUUGUAUAGUUCUUUUCUUGAGAAAAAACAAAAAACUCAAAAAAAAAAUUGUUUAUUGCAUUUUUUACAAGUUUACACAGUGUAUUUUUCAUUGUUGUUUAACUGUUUUUUUUUCUUCCUGAGACUACUACAGGUUUUUAUCUUUUCAGGCUCAAGAGCUGUUACGCCAGGAGGACUUUUAAAGAUGCCGCGGAAAGGAAAGAAAUCUCAGGCUCAAAAAAUCCGUUGGAGAAAGUUGACCUGGGAAGAUCUGGAAGAUGAUCAGAACAGACUCUCCAGGAUUAACAAGGUUGAACAGGCAAGCACCAGUGCUGAUGUAGCUCAGUUUUCAGAUAGAGUGUAUGCAGAAGGUGGUGAUAGUGCACCCAGGGUUUUGUCUGUUCAGGCAUCUCAUUGUCAGAAUGAUGUAAGGUAUGAUGAAUU